This 73-nucleotide transfer RNA is filed under the name Actinomycetota bacterium. RNAcentral's name for it is "Actinobacteria bacterium tRNA-Arg". It matches the Rfam family "tRNA", at positions 16 to 71 of the family's 71-position model. From Rfam's summary of the family: Transfer RNA (tRNA) molecules are approximately 80 nucleotides in length. Their secondary structure includes four short double-helical elements and three loops (D, anti-codon, and T loops). The record is from RNAcentral. Lineage: Bacteria; Bacillati; Actinomycetota.
UUCCCUUAGCGUGCAAGGGAGCAACCGCCUCCUAAGCGGUAGGUCGCCGGUUCAACUCCGGCCAAGGACACAA